RNAcentral lists this transfer RNA (49 nucleotides) under Phylica arborea. RNAcentral's name for it is "partial tRNA-Leu". The record is from RNAcentral. Lineage: Eukaryota; Viridiplantae; Streptophyta; Magnoliopsida; Rosales; Rhamnaceae.
UUUAUAGUAAGAGGAAAAUCCGUCGACUUUAGAAAUCGUGAGGGUUCAA